Molecule: ribosomal RNA, 722 nt
Filed under: uncultured Bacteroidales bacterium
Lineage: Bacteria; Pseudomonadati; Bacteroidota; Bacteroidia; Bacteroidales
Description: bacterial SSU rRNA
Rfam family: Bacterial small subunit ribosomal RNA
Source: RNAcentral
GAUGAACGCUAGCUACAGGCUUAACACAUGCAAGUCGAGGGGCAGCAUGAACUUAGCUUGCUAAGUUUGAUGGCGACCGGCGCACGGGUGAGUAACACGUAUCCAACCUGCCGAUGACUCGGGGAUAGCCUUUCGAAAGAAAGAUUAAUACCCGAUGGCAUAGUUCUUCCGCAUGGUAGAACUAUUAAAGAAUUUCGGUCAUCGAUGGGGAUGCGUUCCAUUAGGUUGUUGGCGGGGUAACGGCCCACCAAGCCUUCGAUGGAUAGGGGUUCUGAGAGGAAGGUCCCCCACAUUGGAACUGAGACACGGUCCAAACUCCUACGGGAGGCAGCAGUGAGGCAUAUUGGUCAAUGGACGAGAGUCUGAACCAGCCAAGUAGCGUGAAGGAUGACUGCCCUAUGGGUUGUAAACUUCUUUUAUACGGGAAUAAAGUGAGGCACGUGUGCCUUUUUGUAUGUACCGUAUGAAUAAGGAUCGGCUAACUCCGUGCCAGCAGCCGCGGUAAUACGGAGGAUCCGAGCGUUAUCCGGAUUUAUUGGGUUUAAAGGGAGCGUAGGCGGACGCUUAAGUCAGUUGUGAAAGUUUGCGGCUCAACCGUAAAAUUGCAGUUGAUACUGGGUGUCUUGAGUGCAGUUGAGGCAGGCGGAAUUCGUGGUGUAGCGGUGAAAUGCUUAGAUAUCACGAAGAACUCCGAUUGCGAAGGCAGCCUGCUAAGCUGCAAC